UGAUCUGAGCAUUGCACGAUGUAUGGAACUU
RNAcentral lists this non-coding RNA (31 nucleotides) under Rattus norvegicus (Norway rat). The record is from RNAcentral. Lineage: Eukaryota; Metazoa; Chordata; Mammalia; Rodentia; Muridae.